This 441-nucleotide ribosomal RNA is filed under the name uncultured bacterium. Its description in RNAcentral is "bacterial SSU rRNA". It matches the Rfam family "Bacterial small subunit ribosomal RNA", at positions 104 to 520 of the family's 1533-position model. The record is from RNAcentral.
GGCUGAGUAACACGUGGGGGUUAUCCUACCCUCGAUUCUGGGAUAGCCCGGGAAACCCGGAUUAAUACCGAGAUAGCCUCUUCGGUCUUCGGACUGUCGAGAAAAGGUAGCUUCAGGCCUCCGAUCGAGGACGAGCCCUGCGGCGGAUUAGCUUGUUGGCGGGGUGAAGCGGCCCACCAAGGCGACCGGAAUCCGUAGCUGGUCUGUAGAGGACCACCAGCCGACAUUGGGCACUGAGCCAGGUAAAAAAUCUAUACGGAGCAGCAGUGGGGAAUCUUGCGCAAUGGGCGAAAGCCUGACGCAGCGACGCCGCGUGAGGGAAGAAGGCCUUCGGGUUGUAAACCUCUUUCAGUAGGGACGAAGCUACUCGGGUUAAUAGCCCAGAGGGUGACGGUACCUACAGAAGAAGCCCCGGCUAAUCUACGUGCCUAGCAGCCGCGG